AGAAAUGCAUGGAACAGGACAGACCACAAAAAGCAGGCCGGAUUACAGAGAGCCGCAGGCUGAUGAGAAGCGGCAGAAGGUAUUUUGUGAUAUCACCUGGGAGCAUCCCGCUGAAUAGAAAUCUUUAAGUAAGCCGGGACGUAGUCUUCACGUUACAGAAGAGGCUGUUUGAUAUGACAGUAAUAAGUGGUCGCGUUUAGCAAUAAAUACGAUAAUACAAAGUGGUACCACGGAACAUUCCGCCUUUGUU
This 250-nucleotide non-coding RNA is filed under the name Ruminococcus sp. RNAcentral's name for it is "T-box sequence". It matches the Rfam family "T-box leader". Rfam says of the family: Uncharged tRNA acts as the effector for transcription antitermination of genes in the T-box leader family. The record is from RNAcentral. Lineage: Bacteria; Bacillati; Bacillota; Clostridia; Eubacteriales; Oscillospiraceae.